RNAcentral lists this antisense RNA (75 nucleotides) under Chondromyces crocatus. RNAcentral's name for it is "ASpks TB sRNA". It matches the Rfam family "ASpks TB sRNA". Lineage: Bacteria; Pseudomonadati; Myxococcota; Polyangiales; Polyangiaceae. The record is from Rfam by way of RNAcentral.
CUUGAUGGACCCGAGCCAGAGAGGCCGAUCGUGAGGACGCCCUUGGCCGUAGGUCGCGAGAAGCGCCUGAGCCUC